AUACCAGCUGAUCCUGCUGGCGGGCACUGCUAUUGAAAUCCGACUCAAACAUGCAAGUCUAACAGUUUAAGCUAUGAUAAACUGUGGCAAACGGCUCAGUAACAUGUAGUCAACCUACCUUCAAGAAAAGUAAACCCCGGGAAACUGGGACUAAUGCUUUAUAGGCAACAAAUACUGGAAGGUUUUAUUGCCCAAAGAACUACAUUCAUGCUUGUAGUUCACUUGAAGACGGGACUGCAGUGGAUUAGGUUGUUGGCGGGGUAACUGCCCACCAAGCCGAAGAUCCAUACGGGCCUUGAGAGAGGGAGCCCGGAGAAGGGAACUGAGAUAAGGUCCCUAGCCCUACGGGGUGCAGCAGUUGCGAAUUCUCUACAAUGCGCGAAAGCGUGAUAGGGGGAUUUCAAGUGCAAGCUCUGCUUGCUUUUGUAUAGUCUAAACCGCUAUACGAAUAAAUGGAGGGUAAGAUACGUGCCAGCCGCCGCGGUAAUACGUACUCCAUAAGUGGUGCCCACUAAUAUUGGGCCUAAAGCGCCUGUAGCCGGUCUAAAAAGUUUUUGGUGAAAUCUGCAGGCUCAACUUGCAGGAGUGCCAGAAAUACUCUUAGACUCGAGACCGGGAGAAGUCAAAGGAAUUCCUGAGGUAGCGGUGAAAUGCUAUGAUCUUAGGAGGACCACCAGUAGCGAAGGCGUUUGACUAGAACGGAUCUGACGGUGAGAGACGAAGGCUGGGGGAUCGACCCGGAUUAGAUAUGGGAUUGGAAAGAGAUAAAAACUUCAAAGCACUAAUAAUAAUAUGAAACAAGUGUUAGAACUCCGGUUAAAAGAAUUUCUGGACAAACAUCCUGAAAUUUACAAAAUCGGAAAAACAUUCAGACACAAAAAUUCAAGCCAUGAAAUAAAGCUUCCAAAAAAGUUUUCACCUGAAUUGUGCAGGCUUUUAGGAAUAAUUCAUGGCGAUGGCAAUAUGUCUUAUGACAGAAUUGUUAUAACUGAUAAAUGCCUUGAAUACCAUAUUAUUAUCCAAGACUUGUUUGAAAAAGUCUUUUCUGUGAAACCAAACUUAUUUCACGACAAGAAAAGGCACACUUACUAUUCUCAUAUUAAGAGAAUGGUAGUCUACAAGUUUUUGGUUGAAGUGCUUGAGGUCCCGAAGGGUUCUAUAAGAAGAAGACUGUCGACAACGUCCUAUAUGAAUUUAUGGGACAAAAAACUAAAGUCAUCUUAUCUUGGAGGACUCUUUGAUUCAGAGGGCCAUGUCGGAAAAAAGCAAGCAAAAAUUUCUUUUACAAUAACAUCAAAAGAAAUUUUUGAUUUUGUAAAAAAUUUUCUUUUAGAAAAUGGAAUCAAAGUUUCUGAGUAUAAAAGAAAACGGCAUGAAAAACCUGAAUAUGAAAUCUAUAUAUAUGGCAAACAAAAUAUUCAGGAAAUGCUAAAGUUUGUCAAAUUUUAUCAUCCUGAUAAAGUAUCUCGUCUGAAACUCUUUUCAUCCCACUAAUUACCCGGUUAGUCCCAGCAGUAAACGAUGCAGACUAGGUGUCCUAGCAGCUACAGGCUGUAGGGGUGCCGAAGGGAAGCCGUUAAGUCUGCCGCCUGGGAAGUACGGCCGCAAGACUGAAACUUAAUGGAAUUGGCGGGGGCGCACUACAAGGGGUGGAUGCUGCGGUUCAAUUGGAUACGACGCCAGAUAAUUCACCAGGGGUGACAGCAGAAUGAUGGACAGUCUGAAGGGCUUUCCUGACGCGCUGAGAGGUGUUGUAUGGUCAUCGUCAGCUCGUACUAUGAAGCGUCCUGUCAACUCAGGCAACGGGCGAGACCCACGUUCAUAGUUGCUAUUUUCCUUUUAGGAGGAGCACUCUAUGAAGACUGCGAGGGCAACCUUGAGGAAGGGGUGGGCAACGAUAGAUCAGUAUGGCCCGAAUCUCCUGGGCAACACGCGGCAUACAAUGGUUAAGACAAUGGGCUCCGAACCCGAAAGGGCAAGGCAAUCUCUUAAACUUAACCUCAGUUCGGAUUGAGGCCUGUAACUCGGCCUCAUGAAGUUGGAAUCCCCAGUAAUCGGAAGUCAUUAUCUUCCGGUGAAUAAGUCCCUGCGCCUUGCACACACCGCCCAUCAAGCCAGCUGAAUGGGGUCUGGAUGAAAAUUAACUUCUUGGUUGAUUUGAUUCUAGUUUCUGUAAAGCGGGCUAAGUUGUAACAAGGUGUCCGUAGGGGAACCUGCGGACGGAUCACCUCCU
Molecule: ribosomal RNA, 2233 nt
Filed under: Microcaldota archaeon
Lineage: Archaea; Nanobdellati; Microcaldota
Description: bacterial SSU rRNA
Rfam family: Archaeal small subunit ribosomal RNA
Source: RNAcentral